ACACUGCGAUGAACCGGGAGAUUGCGGCCCAUGGCCGGUAACUUCCGGGGAGUAUGUCCGAUCAUCGGGCGG
Non-coding RNA from Oscillibacter sp. CAG:241, 72 nucleotides. Lineage: Bacteria; Bacillati; Bacillota; Clostridia; Eubacteriales; Oscillospiraceae. The record is from Rfam.